Etheostoma spectabile (orangethroat darter) is the source of this 469-nucleotide long non-coding RNA. RefSeq lists it as uncharacterized. The record is from RefSeq and is a predicted model, not a curated record. The transcript is spliced from 4 exons. Lineage: Eukaryota; Metazoa; Chordata; Actinopteri; Perciformes; Percidae.
CUUUUUAGUGACAGCUCAAAUUCUAUAUUUUCGAUAUAAUAGAUGUAGUAGUUGGAGAUCUUGAGGUCGUGUGACGAGUGAGUAAGUGUAAAUUCAAGUUGGAGUUUUCCCAUUAACGAGGCCUUUUGAACACAACACGUUUUGCGAGAAAAGGCGCCCAAAGAUCGUGGUCAGAGCUUGGGGAAAAACGGUCGGUGCAUAAAGUCACGGUUGACGGCUGACUGCACGGCGCCGGUAAAAGGAUGACGGCACGCAGAGAGAGGACGGCAUUUUUGUUUGCUGCCAGUGGAUAAUAUGGACCAACGUCAUAAGGGGACAAACCCCGUCCGGCCCAGCAGCCCGCGGCCCAUCCACCGUAGGAUCCCAGCGGCAGCGUCCCAGAGUGGCUUCCCACCUGGCACUGACGCUGGCUCCUCAGCUGGAAAGCCGCUGACUCUGGAGACCGACCAACGACGUAAGCGGACAAGAG